CCUACGGGAGGCUGCAGUGGGGGAUAUUGGACAAUGGGGGAAACCCUGCUCCAGCGACGCCGCGUGAGUGAAGAAGUAUUUCGGUAUGUAAAGCUCUGUCAGCAGGGACGAAAGAAAUGACGGUACCUGACCAAGAAGCACCGGCUAACUACGUGCCAGCAGCCGCGCGAAUACGUAGGGGGCAAGCGUUAUCCGGAAUUACUGGGUGUAAAGGGAGCGUAGACGGUGAUGCAAGUCUGGAGGGAAAGGCGGGGGCCCAACCCCCGGACUGCUCUGGAAACUGUGUAACGUGAGUGCAGGAGAGGUAAGCGGAAUUCCUAGUGUAGCGGUGAAAUGCGUAGAUAUUAGGAGGAAAACCAGUGGCGAAGGCGGCUUACUGGACUGUAACUGACGUUGAGGCUCGAAAGCGUGGGGAGCAAACAGGAUUAGAUACCCGUGUAGUC
This 443-nucleotide ribosomal RNA is filed under the name uncultured bacterium. RNAcentral's name for it is "partial 16S ribosomal RNA". It matches the Rfam family "Bacterial small subunit ribosomal RNA", at positions 338 to 795 of the family's 1533-position model. The record is from RNAcentral.